UACGGAGGAUGCGAGCGUUAUCCGGAUUUAUUGGGUUUAAAGGGUGCGUAGGCGGAUUUUUAAGUCAGCGGUAAAAUGUCCGGGCUCAACCCGGGCCAGCCGUUGAAACUGGGGAUCUUGAGUGGGCGAGAAGUAUGCGGAAUGCGUGGUGUAGCGGUGAAAUGCAUAGAUAUCACGCAGAACUCCGAUUGCGAAGGCAGCAUACCGGCGCCCGACUGACGCUGAGGCACGAAAGCGUGGGGAUCGAACAGG
RNAcentral lists this ribosomal RNA (252 nucleotides) under uncultured bacterium. RNAcentral's name for it is "partial 16S ribosomal RNA". It matches the Rfam family "Bacterial small subunit ribosomal RNA", at positions 524 to 776 of the family's 1533-position model. The record is from RNAcentral.